RNA transcript from Oncorhynchus keta (chum salmon), 2769 nucleotides. It is a transcript of the gene named nucleobindin-1-like, with no coding region annotated. The transcript is spliced from 12 exons. The record is from RefSeq and is a predicted model, not a curated record. Lineage: Eukaryota; Metazoa; Chordata; Actinopteri; Salmoniformes; Salmonidae.
UAGACAGAUCUUAUAUGUUCAUACUUCUCUUGCAGGAGGAUGAACCUGGAUCCUGGCUGGCUGCUGCUCCUAUCCAUGUCUCUGGAGGUUUGGUCAGUGCCCCUCGACCGCAAUGCAACCCCCCAGGAAGCACAUUCUCCCCAGGAGGACAAACAGGAGGAUAAUGUGGACACAGGCCUAUACUAUGACCGGUAUCUGAGAGAGGUGAUUGAAGUGCUGGAGACAGAUCCCCACUUCAGAGAGAAACUCCAGACUGCCAAUACAGAGGACAUCAAGAAUGGUCGUCUCAGUAAGAGCUGGACCUUGCAGGGCACCAUUUAGAACUCGUCUGGAUGAGCUGAAGAGACAGGAGGUGUCUCGCCUCAGGAUGCUGCUCAAAGCCAAACUGGACAGCACCAACACACAGAGUUUACAGAUGGACCAUGCCUCUCUGUUGAAGCAGUUUGAACACCUGGAUCACACAAUCAGAACACCUUUGAGGCCAAAGACCUUGAGCUGCUCAUCUCAACGGCCACUAAAGACCUAGAGAACUACGAUGCAGAGAGACAUGAUGAGUUCAAACGCUAUGAGAUGCUGAAGGAGCACGAGAGACGGGAGUACCUCAAGGGUCUGGACCAGGAGAAGCGAGAGAAGGAGGAGAAGAGGAUGGAGGAGCUGAAGGAUAAACACCGCAAGCACCCCAAGGUCAACGCUCCGGGCAGUGUAGCUCAACUGCGUGAGGUAUGGAAGGAGACUGAUGGACUGGACCCAACAGAGUUUAACCCAAAGACCUUCUUCAAACUGCAUGAUGCGAAUGGAGAUGGUGUUUUAGAUGAGCAGGAACUAGAGGCCCUCUUUGCCAAAGAGCUGGAGAAGGUCUACGACCCAAAGAAUGAGGAGGAUGAUAUGAUGGAGAUGGAGGAAGAGAGGCUGAGGAUGAGGGAGCAUGUCAUGAAGAACGUUAGUAUUGUUUGGAUUUCUUUCCGUUCAAAUCAACAGACUGUUUUGAAGAAAGAGUUCAACAACCCUAAAGAAUGGGAUACUUUAGAUGACACCAAGCCGGUGUUUACAGAGGCUGAGCUCCAGCGGUUUGAGGCGGAACUGCACACCAAGGAGGAGGAGCUGGGUAGGCGGGCGGAGUCUCUUCGUCAGGAGCAGGAUCUGCUGAAGGAGAGGGGCAAGGCCCUGGAGGCCCAGAGACGAGAGUACCAACAGGCAGUGCUAGAGAUGUCUCAGAGGAAGGAGAAACAGGCAGUGGAGGGGCAGCCUCCUACUGGUCCUAACGGAGAACUACAGUUCCACCAAGAGAUGCAGAAACUGGAAGAUCAAGGUGCUAAAGCUCCUGUUGAACAAGAAGUCCAAGAGGCCCAGAAUAACCUGCCUGCAGAACCACCACAGAACCUGCCCAUACACACCUAAUGCAGCACCCUGAUACACAUAGGGUUGCAAUGGGAGGGUAUAUUACUGGAAACUUUCUAAGUUUACCAGUAAACUACCAGAAUUUUUGUAACUUUCAAGGAAUGUAUGGAAUUUUAUCAGAUGACAUCUGUCUUUUUUUGGUACUUCGGAUUAUCACAGGUGUUUGUGAGCAUGGUUACAUGCACACCAUAAUUUGAUUUUGUUUAAUACAUUUACAUGCUUUGCAAGAAAAACGAUUUCCCUAAUAAUCCUGUUUACGUCUGAAAUCAGAUAAAUUCCAAAAAUCAGCUAUCUAAAAAAAUGUUCGACCACAUUGGCCAAACCUUUUUGCAAAACCUUUUUGAUUCUGAGUUGGGACAUAUAAAGUUUGUAUGUGAAAACAAUUUCUAAUAUGCAUACCUUGUUUUUCCAAAUUCACGCAUAAGAGGGAGUCUUGCGCUACCUGUGCUGGCGCAAAUCAAAUACACAGCUCGAAUGCAGUAAUUUGAAAGAUUGCCUAGAAAACCAGGUGUUUUAAUCGGUGAAUGCUUACUUAGAUUUUGACCUUACGCCGAUUAAGAUAAGCAGAAUAAUGUGUUUACAUGACUAUUUCCAUACCUGGCAUACUGCCAUAAUCAGUUUAAUAUCAAAUUAUUAGUGUGCAUGUAAACAUACUCAUGAAUUAUCUCUGGACCUCUGUGUGAUAUAACAUCUAUACAAUAAUUAAAUGAGAUGACAAAGCUGUAAAAUAUCCUAAAUAUAAACCAUCAACGUAGUGAAUGUCAUUGAUGUUUAAUAUGAGGGUUUCAGAAUAAAAUACCCUUUGUUUAUUUUACACACACUUUUUUAUUUUACUAUGUCAAUAUGUCUUUGUUGUAAAUAUUUUGGGGUCAAACUGGUGGCAGUUGUGAAAAAAUACAAUAGUUUGUGGAGUGAAUUGAAAACAAUGCAAUUGUUGAUUAGAUGCUUUUCCAAAAUUAUUUAGGUUAUUUUUCUCUUGAAGCAUAUAGUCUAUCCACUAGAAACUCAUGGACAUUAUGGUCACAGAUGUAAAAAAUGUUUUACUAUAUAUAUGAAUAACAUUUGUUUUAGUUCAAGUAUAAAUCACCAAAGUUACCAUAGAUUACCUGUUAUUUACCAAAAUUACGGAGGAUUCCAGUAACUUUGGUAAAAUAGUGGUAGCUGUGCAACCCUAAAUACACACACGCUCUUGCAGGAACACAUCUCAUUCACUGACACACAUAUCCAGAUGGGUACAGCAAAUGACAUCAUACAGCACAAGCGCACAACCCCAGUCAGUCAAGCGCAUCGUAUCGUCCCCUGGCACAGUCCCGGUGUUCACCUAUCUCUGUGGUUUACAUUUGAUCUCAAUAAAUUAUUCAACUCACUGGA